UAUCCGGGUUGAGGACAGUGCCUGGUGGGUAGUUUGACUGGGGCGGUCUCCUCCCAAAGAGUAACGGAGGAGCACGAAGGUGGGCUAAUCACGGUUGGACAUCGUGAGGUUAGUGCAAUGGCAUAAGCCCGCUUAACUGCGAGAAUGACGGUUCGAGCAGGUGCGAAAGCAGGUCAUAGUGAUCCGGUGGUUCUGUAUGGAAGGGCCAUCGCUCAACGGAUAAAAGGUACUCCGGGGAUAACAGGCUGAUACCGCCCAAGAGUUCAUAUCGACGGCGGUGUUUGGCACCUCGAUGUCGGCUCAUCACAUCCUGGGGCUGAAGUCGGUCCCAAGGGUAUGGCUGUUCGCCAUUUAAAGUGGUACGCGAGCUGGGUUUAGAACGUCGUGAGACAGUUCGGUCCCUAUCUGCCGU
RNAcentral lists this ribosomal RNA (412 nucleotides) under Vibrio cholerae. RNAcentral's name for it is "partial 23S ribosomal RNA". It matches the Rfam family "Bacterial large subunit ribosomal RNA", at positions 2237 to 2648 of the family's 2925-position model. Lineage: Bacteria; Pseudomonadati; Pseudomonadota; Gammaproteobacteria; Vibrionales; Vibrionaceae. The record is from RNAcentral.